Molecule: small RNA, 1124 nt
Filed under: Rattus norvegicus (Norway rat)
Lineage: Eukaryota; Metazoa; Chordata; Mammalia; Rodentia; Muridae
Description: uncharacterized LOC108348793
Source: RNAcentral
CUAACAAGAGUGCCCUGUGCCCUGGGGAAUGAGAGCAAACCAAGGCAACUGUGGAUGCUGAAAUCAGAAGAGCUGAUGGAUUAGAGGGACAGACAUCACAAACAUCUGAGUUUAGUCAGGGGAAGUGGCUGAGAAGAUCAUAAAAGCUGUUCCACUUUUUAGGUUCCAAGUUGAAGAAAGGAAGAAGGAUUGAGCUGACCUCAAGGCUAAGCUUAUUCUAAAAGAUACGUACCCUGCACCAAGAUGGAUACCACAGUUCUCUGAAGAGCAGCGGGAAGCUCACUCAUGGUGUCUUUCUCUCCAUGUUCCUGGCCGUCAACUUCCUCCUCAACAGUUCCCUGGGGUGUUUUUAAAAAACAUGAUUUGAUAAACUAUUCCACUGGUUUUCCUUUAUUUUUUGCAAAAUUGCAUGAGUUACACAGUGCAGCAUUCUAGUCCAGCCUUGCAGAUGCCCUGCCUGUGUGCCAACUUGCCCUCUUUCUCUGGGAACAAUGGUCUCAAACAAGACAGCUGGUCGUAGUCUUGUGAAAGACACGGGCUGGAGUCCUAAACCCUCAGCACCUCAGAAGGUGAACUGACCGAGAGCUGGCAUCCUCACAACUUAAAGGUGGGGUCUGCUGAGGCUGAGAGGCUGUAAUACAGCACGCCUAAUAUUCCGAUAGAAGAGGAAAUAUGAAUUCCGAGGCACCGAGGGAAGACUGGGUAAAGACUCAGGAAGAUGCCAAUGUGAAAACACUGACGUGGAGUGGUAAUACCGGAAACAGAGUGCCAGAACCUGAGAAGCAAGAACUUCACUACACCUUUCGAAGGGUCCCUCCUACUGGCAUAUUAAUUUUGUUUGUCCUGCAGCUGUAGGAAUGGCUCAACAGUUAAGAGCACUUGCUCUUAUAGAGGACCCAAGUCUGUCUCCCAAUACCCACAUGGGACAUCACAUCCGUCUGUAACUCAAAGUUGUUCCAGCAGAUCCAAUGCUCUCUUCUGGACUCCAUGGGUACCAGGCACAAGGUGGUGCACAUACAUUCAUGGACGCAAACAGGCAUAUACACAAAGUAAAUACAUUGUAAAAAAUCUCUUUAUGUGUUUAGAUUCUCUAAUCAUGAGACAGUAAAUUUUGUUCUAAGAGA